GACGAACGCUGGCGGCGUGCCUAAUACAUGCAAGUAGAACGCGGCAGGAGGAGCUUGCUUCUCUGGAUGAGUUGCGAACGGGUGAGUAACGCGUAGGUAACCUGCCUGGUAGCGGGGGAGAACUAUUGGAAACGAUAGCUAAUACCGCAUAAGAGUAGAUGUUGCAUGACAUUUGCUUAAAAGGUGCAAUUGCAUGUCUACCAGAUGCACCUGCGUUGUAUUAGCUAGUGGGUGGGGGACCGGCUCACCAGGGCGACGUUACAUAGCCGACCAGCGAGGGUGCGCGGCAUCGCUGGGACUGGGACACGGCCAAGCAUCCUGCGGGAGGCAGCCGUCGGGGAUCUUUGGCAAUAGAAGGAAGUGUGAACGAGGAACGCUGCGCGAGUGACGAAGGUUGUCGGAUCGCGAAGCUCUGUUGUGAGUGAAGAAUGUGUGUGAGAGUGGAACGUUCACACUGUGACGGUAUCUUACGAGAAAGCGCCGGCUAACUCCGUG
This 495-nucleotide ribosomal RNA is filed under the name uncultured bacterium. RNAcentral's name for it is "partial 16S ribosomal RNA". It matches the Rfam family "Bacterial small subunit ribosomal RNA", at positions 28 to 507 of the family's 1533-position model. The record is from RNAcentral.